RNAcentral lists this long non-coding RNA (2008 nucleotides) under Equus asinus (donkey). RNAcentral describes it as "lncRNA (ENSEASG00005037628.1)". The record is from RNAcentral. Lineage: Eukaryota; Metazoa; Chordata; Mammalia; Perissodactyla; Equidae.
AAAAAAAGCAGAUCAACCCUGACAACCUGACCUUCAAGUCCGGUCAUUCCUCCUCGCAGCCUGCUCCAGCACAGCUGUUCUGCCCUCUUUGGAGGACUCACCCUCAGGGAGAGUUGUUUGGGCAACUGCAGAGCUGAAAGGUGGAUGGAAAGAAACAGGAGCUCCCGAGAGCCUGGAGGCCCCUCAGGCGGCGACAGAGAGUGGGCGGCCAGGCCUGAGAGUGGCGCUGGGCGGGCUCCCUGGUUGUUCAGGUCAAGGGUGCACAGGAAGCCCAUGACCCACUUUCGUGAAAAGAGGAAGCCCACUCUCGGCCCUGGCCUUGAGAUGAGCCUCAAAAUGUGGGGUCAUGUGUAUCACAUCACAUCUCCAGAGGAACCGCCAGGCAGACGGAUCUGCCUUCAGGAUGUCUGGAAACAGCCCACCACUGGCAGAGCAAGCGGGCACUCGCACGCCUUCAGAGACUUCUUCCCUCCCCACGUGCCAUGGAGUUGAAGCAUUUUAUUUAAAUCAUUUUCAUUAGCAGUUAAUAUUGCAGAUGCGCGUGGAAGACCCAUUUCCAGGUCACCUGGGGAAAGAAUGGACAGUGCGGCUUCCCGCUGGGACGUUUCCCCUGUGUGUUCCAAACACAGAAAGAGGAAGAAAGCUUUGAGUUUUUAUGGAGCAAGCAUAGCAGUGACACCAAGGAGAUGUGCAGAAAGCAAGCUAUGAACUCAUGUGAUGUGUGAAGAGCAAUGUGAGAAUCCUAAAUAGAUUAUUAGCAGACAGAAUCCAGCAGUGUUAGAGAGUUACAUCCCCAGACUAAGUGUUUUCCAUGAAGUAGGGAUGGCUCCCUGUUAGGUCUAUUGACGUAAAUCACCAUUUAAUACCACAAAAGAGAAAAAGAACAUGGCCAUCUCUGUAGAUGCUGACAAACAUUGGAUGAAGUUCAACAUCCAUUCUAUUUUUAAAAUUCUCCUGAUAAAAUAGAAAUUGAUGAAUGCUUCUUUAAUGUUAUAAAUGAUCUCUGUCUCAGCCUGAAAGACCACAUCUUGGGGAAACACUGGAAACAUUCCCCCCAAAGUUGUGAAGACGCCAGACAUUCCCACCCCAUGUGGUCCUCACAUGUGUGGGAGGCACUGGCCUGUGCCUUUAUCAAGAGAGAGAAGCUGGAAGUACCAAAAUGGGAAAGCGUGAGAUAAAGUGAUAAUCACUUAUGGAUAUUUUAUUGCAUAUCUGGAAAACUCUAGAGAAGCAACUGAAAAAAGUGAACAAAAAUCUAAGGAUUUGGCAAAGUAUAAAAUUAGGAUAUGGAAAUUGGCAGCCUUUCUAUCUAGAAACGAGAACCACUAGGAAAUAUGAUCAAAGAAAAGACAACAUCAAAAAAAGGUAAAACAUCUGAGAAUGUGGUUAGAGGAAAUGUGGAAACUCUACAGCAGGAAGACUUCACGGCCUCCGGGGCUGCGCUGGCUGGGACGAGGGGACCAGCGGGCUGUGCUGGAAGGGAAGACUUGUCAAGAUGCCGGUUUUCACUAAGUUCAUCUACAGUUCCAGCCAGACCACUGACCCACUGCCCCAGAGCAGCCGGCGAACACGGAGUUGGUGGGAAUCGGGGCGCUGACGGCUGACCCGGGCAGCGUGACCUCGGGCGGUGCUUUUCAAGUCUCGGAAGCAGGACGUGAGCAUCCCUUCUGUGUUUGCGCCUCGUCAUACAUCCAGGGGAGAGGUGCUUGUCCCUGCGGAUUAAUUCCCAGAGAAAAUACUGCAAUUCAGAAGCACAGGCUUAAGUCCCUUUUCCCUAUUUACAAAUUAAAAAGGCACCGAGACACCCUAACUGCAUUUCCUGGUAACUUAUUCAGAGCUGUUACAACUGUCUGCACGCACUGCCGCAGGAUCCAGACAGUGCCAGGGCGCUGAGCAGGACGGCCCCUCAGGGUCCUCAGUGGGGUCUUUUCUGCACACCUCUGAAUGUUCCAGGUCCCCUGAGACUCAGGAACGGCGGCCGUCUCCCUCAUCAUGGUGAGAAUGUGUA